GAUGAACGCUGGCGGUGUGCCUAAUACAUGCAAGUCGUACGCAUUCUCGUUUCUGAUUGACGGUGCUUGCACCUAAUUGACGAGACAUUGGAAUGAGUGGCGGACGGGUGAGUAACACGUGGGUAACCUGCCCAGAAGUGGGGGAUAACAUUUGGAAACAGAUGCUAAUACCGCAUAAAAGUCAAAACCACAUGGUUUUGAUUUAAAAGAUGGCCUUUGUGCUAUCACUUCUGGAUGGACCCGCGGCGUAUUAGCUAGUUGGUAAGAUAACGGCUUACCAAGGCAAUGAUACGUAGCCGAACUGAGAGGUUGAUCGGCCACAAUGGGACUGAGACACGGCCCAUACUCCUACGGGAGGCAGCAGUAGGGAAUCUUCCACAAUGGGCGCAAGCCUGAUGGAGCAACACCGCGUGAGUGAAGAAGGGUUUCGGCUCGUAAAACUCUGUUGUUAAAGAAGAACGUAUCUAAGAGUAACUGCUUAGGUAGUGACGGUAUUUAACCAGAAAGCCACGGCUAACUACGUGCCAGCAGCCGCCGUAA
RNAcentral lists this ribosomal RNA (540 nucleotides) under uncultured bacterium. Its description in RNAcentral is "partial 16S ribosomal RNA". It matches the Rfam family "Bacterial small subunit ribosomal RNA", at positions 28 to 523 of the family's 1533-position model. The record is from RNAcentral.